UACGGAGGGUGCAAGCGUUAAUCGGAAUUACUGGGCGUAAAGCGCGCGUAGGCGGCUUAGUAAGUCGGAUGUGAAAGCCCCGGGCUUAACCUGGGAACUGCAUUCGAUACUGCUGAGCUAGAGUAUGGAAGAGGGAAGUGGAAUUCCGGGUGUAGCGGUGAAAUGCGUAGAUAUCCGGAGGAACACCAGUGGCGAAGGCGACUUCCUGGGCCAAUACUGACGCUGAGGUGCGAAAGCGUGGGGAGCAAACAGG
This 253-nucleotide ribosomal RNA is filed under the name uncultured Sinobacteraceae bacterium. Its description in RNAcentral is "partial 16S ribosomal RNA". It matches the Rfam family "Bacterial small subunit ribosomal RNA", at positions 524 to 776 of the family's 1533-position model. Lineage: Bacteria; Pseudomonadati; Pseudomonadota; Gammaproteobacteria; Nevskiales; Nevskiaceae. The record is from RNAcentral.